CCCGUAGCUCCGAAGAUGGGACUCGUGAGGGGCGAGGUGAGCGAGUGCUGUUCUCACUGGGGCUCCGUUUCCUUAGGGGGCGGAACUCUGACCGAAGGAGAGCGGAAUGUGGUCUGACACCGGUGCCGUGAGCAGGGUCGGGCCAAGCAGACACAGGUCCUGCUGUCGUGACAUCUGCAGCUGAAUGGGAAGACAGACAAACAAAGAUACUGAUCAGUCAUCCCACAAAGUGCAGUGCUGUGAAGGUUUGCACUCGGCGCAGGGACCUGGAGCAAGGAGGUGGCCACCAAGGUCUCAGAGAGGAGAUGGCAUCUGAGCAGAGACCUGCAGGAUGAGAAGGAGGCAGCCACUGCUAGAGCCCCGGGCAGGGUGGUCCCGGAAGCCAGCUCAGCAGUAACGCUGAGGCCGGGCACAAGUCGGUCUGUUUGAGGAACAGAAGAAAACCCAGUGUGGCUGCAGUAUGAAGGGGGCAGAGGGGCAAGAAGAAGCUAGCAGCGGGCCAGGGCACCUCGGGCAGGACCUCUGAUCGUGGUAGGGAGCUUGAGUUGUUUUCUGACAGCUGAAGGACUUCACAGGUGCAAAAGCCCACUCCGGCUCUCUGUAGGCUACCAGGCAACAGUGGAUUCAGAGAGGCCAGGUAAGAGGCACUGGUGCAACCCAGACGAGGGACACUGAGGCCUGAACGAGGCUGGUGGCUGCGGAAAUCAAGAGAAUUGGGCCUAUUCAAGACUCAGCACUUGUUGCCCUGGCUGGUGUGGCUCAGUGGAUUGAGCACCGGCCUGCGAACCAUAAGGUCACCAGUUUGAUUCCCAGUCAGGGCACAUGCCUGGGUUGCGGGCCAGGUCCCCAGUAGGGGGCACACCAGAGGCAACCACAUAUCGAGGUUUCUCUCCCUCUCUUUCUCCUUCCCUUCCCCUCUCUCUAGAAAUAAAUAAAGUUCUUUUAAAAAGUCAGUACUUGUUGAAGAUUCAGAGGUGGUGGGUGAGAGAGGAGCAAUGAAGGAGGGCUUUGGGCAUCUAGCCUGAUGGGUGGAAAUUCUCUGCUCCUCUCUGCUCCUGCGACUGAGAGGCAGAACUCUUUCCCUCCCUGCAAUCUGAGCAGGCUGGGGUCUGCUCGGACCGUGCAGUACUGAGUACCAUGUGCCCCACGGACUGGGCCUGCGGAGGAUCCCGAACCGGAAGCUGCACAGAGAGGAGAGGGUGCUAGAGUAGACUGAGCAGGGGCCGCCGGGAGGAAGGAGGAAGGCCGGGCGAGAGCGCUGUCAGGGGCCAGCAGAAGAAAGUCUUCCAGGAAGGAGGGAGUGCUGGCCACUGUGGAACAUUGCCCGAAGUUGGGGUAAGCUGAGGGCGGAGAAGGGUCCUGUAGAUUUGGCAACAAGGCACCGGGGCGACCUUGAUGAGAGCCUCGAAGAGCGAACAUGGACGCUGGAUCGAAAUGGCCCGACCGGCAAAUGGGAGCGAAUAAGUUGGAGAGAACAAGCACAGUCUUUAAAAAAAAAAAAAGGAUUAGGUGUGAAAGGCUUUUCACAAUCAAGGCCGCUCGAGAAACAGCAGGAUUUCCAGCAGCAUUGCUAGGAAUUUGCGAUGCCUCUCGCCUGCCAGUUUGCUCGCUGGCUUGCCCGAGGCCGCACAGCUGUGAGGGGCAGCACAGGACCUGGAGCCCAAGCCUGGAACGCACCUCUGCAGGGGCUGCAACUGCCAGGACGCAAGCGACUCUCACACCCAGCAGCACCUGUGGUUCCCAGCUGUCAGUGCCACAGGGGAAGCGUAGAAAGAGAAACACACUCUCCCUCUUCUGUAAUGUCUGUGUUUCAUGGGUGCUUGGGGGCCAGUUGAACACAAAGGGCCGCUGAGGGCUGCUCCCUCGCAAAGUCUGUUUGCCAAACCAUGCUGCCACUUCUCCAUCUCCAUCUGCAUCGUCACCACUGGUCUCGUCCAACCCCAGGCUAGGAAUGCUGGGAUAUUUGGGGUUCAUGGCUCCCCACCCCAUCCCUUAAUUAUCUGCCCUCCUUCAUUUCCGUGUUACUUUUAUUAAAGAAAAUGCCCCCAGGGAUGGUAAGCUUGGUGUUAUCACAGGCAAACAUCUUAGAAAGUUGGUACUCUCUUCCAGCGACUGUUUACAGAAACAUUUCCACACCUCCCUGGACAUUUCCAGGAAGUCCCAAUAUUUCCCAGCCACGGGUAUUAAUAAGCGGGUCUUGAAAAGUACAGGAAGCUGGUCCAUGGCUUCAGGCACGUUUUACACUUGUACCUUCUAAUCCCUAGGCAAGAGGUGAUAAGACCCCAAGAGCUGGGUGAAUCCCAGUCCCGGAGAAAGAGCCACUUUUCAGAGUUGGAUCCGCAGGGGGAAAUGCCGCCCUGUGACUUGAGGGGCUGUGACACCCCUGAAAAAGCUCUGCUCACGUCCUAGUCCCUGGAACCUGUGAGUGCUACCUUGUUCGGACAGAGUCCUUGCAGAUGAAAUUAAGGGUCUCUGGGUGGGCCCCAGAUCCACUGACAAGCGUCCUUGCAAGAGACACACAGGGGACACAGAAGAGGAGGGGGCCCGAGUGACCAUGGGUGCCGAGGCUGGAGUGACGCGGCCACAAGCCAAGGGACACCUUGGAGCCACCAGGAGCUGGAGCAGGCAAGAAACGGAUCCUCCCCUCAGGCCUUCAGGAGCAGAACAACCCUGUGUGGACACCUUGAUUUUGAACUUCUGGCCUCCAGGGCUGUGAGAAAAUAAAUUUCUGUUGUUUUAAAGUAA
This is a long non-coding RNA of Phyllostomus hastatus (greater spear-nosed bat), 2745 nucleotides long. RefSeq lists it as uncharacterized. The record is from RefSeq and is a predicted model, not a curated record. The transcript is spliced from 3 exons. Lineage: Eukaryota; Metazoa; Chordata; Mammalia; Chiroptera; Phyllostomidae.